AAAGUCAUAGCUCCAGCAUCUACUUGAUUAGGGAAUGCAUGUCAAUACCAUAGGAGGUAUGUAGUCAAAAACCAGAUCAAGAGGAUUAUGCUGCUACAAGGAAGAAUAAUGGCAGGGAAACAAAUCCGCACAAGAAGAAAAAGGAAUCAAGCACUCUCUCAUCCGUCAAGUGCUGGCCCUGGGACACAGGGAGGCAGGGCUGGAGUUUCUGCCCAUUAACCAUGUGAUCAGCUCUGCCACUGUGCUGGACCUUUGACAGGCUUUCCAGAUGCUACAGAGUCAGAUAAAGAUCUGAAGACCAGCGAAAGUACAAACUUAGAAGGUGUCUACACUAUUACAUACUUUACCUAGCUUGAAACCAGCAUGUUCCAACAUGCUGGUUGUGUUUUGUUUUUCAAUGUA
Long non-coding RNA from Aquila chrysaetos chrysaetos, 402 nucleotides. RefSeq lists it as uncharacterized. The transcript has 3 exons. The record is from RefSeq and is a predicted model, not a curated record. Lineage: Eukaryota; Metazoa; Chordata; Aves; Accipitriformes; Accipitridae.